GUCCACGCCGUAAACGAUGGGUACUAGGUGCCUGGGGGAGCGACCCCUUGGGUGCCGGCGCUAACGCAGGAAGUACCCCGCCUGGGGAGUACGACCGCAAGGUUGAAACUCAAAGGAAUUGACGGGGGCCCGCACAAGCGGUGGAGCAUGUGGUUUAAUUCGACGCAACGCGAAGAACCUUACCUAGGCUUGACAUGCAUGGGAAACUCCUCAGAAACGAGGAGCCUCCUUCGGGAUCCAUGCACAGGUGCUGCAUGGCUGUCGU
This 265-nucleotide ribosomal RNA is filed under the name uncultured bacterium. Its description in RNAcentral is "partial 16S ribosomal RNA". It matches the Rfam family "Bacterial small subunit ribosomal RNA", at positions 793 to 1055 of the family's 1533-position model. The record is from RNAcentral.